Molecule: ribosomal RNA, 1510 nt
Filed under: human gut metagenome
Description: bacterial LSU rRNA
Rfam family: Bacterial large subunit ribosomal RNA
Source: RNAcentral
GAUGACCGAUAGUGAAGCAGUACCGUGAGGGAAAGGUGAAAAGAACCCCGGGAGGGGAGUGAAAUAGAACCUGAAACUGUGUGCUUACAAGCGGUCAGAGCUCUUCGGAGUGAUGGCGUGCCUUUUGGAGAAUGAUCCUGCGAGUUACGUUCAGUGGCGAGGUUAAGUAUAACGGAGCCGAAGGGAAACCGAGUCUGAAUAGGGCGACAUAGUCGCUGGGCGUAGACGCGAAACCUGGUGAUCUAAGCCUGUCCAGGGUGAAGCUGUGGUAAGACACAGUGGAGGCCCGAACUCACCGCCGUUGAAAAGUUGGGAGAUGAGGUAGGUUUAGGGGUGAAAAGCCAAUCGAACUAGGAGAUAGCUCGUUCUCUCCGAAAUGCAUUUAGGUGCAGCCUUGAGUGUUUAAUUAUGGGGGUAGAGCACUGAAUGAACUAGGGGGCAUAUUGCUUACUGAAUUCAAUCAAACUCCGAAUACCAUAAUUCAAAGCUCAGGAGUGAGACUAUGGGAAUUAACUUCCAUUGUCAAAAGGCAAACAACCCAGACCACCAGCUAAGGUCCCUAAUUAUAACUAAGUGGGAAAGGAGGUGGAGAUUCACAAACAACCAGGAGGUUGGCUUAGAAGCAGCCAUACCUUUAAAGAGUGCGUAAUAGCUCACUGGUCGAGAGUCUCUGCGCCGACAAUGUAACGGGGCUAAGUUAUAAACCGAAGCUGUGGAAUUGCGUAAGCAAUUGGUAGGAGAGCGUUCUGUAGGCCGUUGAAGGAGAAGCGUAAGCGACUCUGGAGGUAUCAGAAGUGAGAAUGCAGGAAUAAGUAGCGAGAAAGGGGGCGAGAAUCCCCCUCGCCGGAAGACCAAGGUUUUCAGGGUAAAGCUUGUCUUCCCUGAGUAAGCCGGGACCUAAGCCGAGGCUAAAAUGCGUAGGCGAAUGGAAAACAGAUUAAUAUUUCUGUGCCAGUUAUAUUUUGUGAUGGAGGGACGCAGAAGGGUAUGUGCGCGGGAGAACGGAAGUUCCCGUAAAAGCAUGUAGAGUGGUCUAGUAGGAAAAUCCGCUAGAUUAGACUUAAGGUGUGAUAUAUAGUCGUAAGAUGAAUGCACAAAUCCCACGCUGCCGAGAAAAGCUUCUAACGUUAAGGUAUAACUGCCCGUACCCGAAACCGACACAGGUGGUCAGGAUGAGAAAUCUAAGGCGGACAGGCUAACUCUCGUUAAGGAACUCUGCAAAAUUGCCCCGUAACUUUGGGAGAAGGGGUGCCCCUGAAUGUUAGUAAUUACACAUUAUGAAGCAUUUGGGGGUCGCAGUGAAGAGGCUCAAGCAACUGUUUAACAAAAACACAGGUCUAUGCUAAGCUGUAAGGCGAUGUAUAUGGGCUGACACCUGCCCAGUGCCGGAAGGUUAAGAGGAGGAGUGAGAGCUCCGAAUUGAAGCCCCGGUGAACGGCGGCCGUAACUAUAACGGUCCUAAGGUAGCGAAAUUCCUUGUCGGGUAAGUUCCGACCUGCACGAAUGGUGU